This is a long non-coding RNA of Condylostylus longicornis, 3528 nucleotides long. RefSeq lists it as uncharacterized. NCBI's taxonomy places the organism in Eukaryota, Metazoa, Arthropoda, Insecta, Diptera, Dolichopodidae. The record is from RefSeq and is a predicted model, not a curated record. The transcript has 4 exons.
CGCGUGCUGUUGUGGUCGUAUUUUUAUUUCAGUUUUUUUUAUUCUGAAAAAUAAUUUUGUAUUCUCUUGUAUAUGUUUUAAUGAAAUUAUAUGUAUACAUAUAUAUUCAUGUAUAUAUGUAGUUUUAUUAUUGUAAAUUUACAUACAUACAAAUUUGUAAUUAGAAAGUACAUGUUUUUAUAAAUUCGUUAUUGGAAUUGUGCUUCUUUCCUCUAUAUGCUACGAAAUUAUUAAUUUUGUGAAAUAAUCGAAAAAAUAUAACUUUGUGUUUUUAUUUUGUUUUUUUUUUUCAAUUUAUUUAUAUAUUUUGUGGCAAUUAUUACAUAUAAAAAAUUGUUAUACUACUUUAUUAUUAUAUUGAUUUGAGUGAAAAGUACGGCGACAAAAAAAAUAAAAGUGUCAAAAUCGAAAAACACAAAAAAACAAAAUAAGAAUUUUUCUAAUCUUUAAAAUCCUGAAAACAACUUCAAAUCAAAAAAAUUAUUUUUUUUUUCCUGGAUCCGGAAUUUAAUUUAACAAUUUUUGUUGCUGUUGCUGAUGCCGCUGCUGCUGCUACUACUACUACCAUUGACAAGAAAACUACAUAAGAAACAGGAAAAAUAAAAAAAAGUCAAAAAAUAAAACGAAAAAUUUGACAUUCAAAAAUCUUAUUACAAGGUGUUCUAUCUAAAACGAAACAAAAGCAAAACAACAAAAAGUGAAAAAUAAAAGCAUAACAACAAAAUCACUUAAUAACAUUGAAUAAAAAAUAUAUAUUAUACACAAAUUCAUACACAUAUAGUUGUAUUAUUAAAUACAUACUAAAUUAAACACAAAACAAAAAAAAAAAACAAAAACAGAAAAAAUAUGAAAAUCCAAUAAUUCGAAGGAUAACAGCAGAAAAGAAAAAAUAAAAAGAACACAGAAAAAAAAAUUCGAACUUGUAUUCAAAUACAAACCAUCAUCAUAAUCAUCAAUAUCAAUAUAAACAUCAUCAUCAUCAUCACCAUCAUCAGGGAAUAAAGCAACAACCAUUAAAAUCUACUUUUAUACAAUAAGGAUUUUUAUUUAAAACGAGCGGAUAUAUACAUCCAUACACACAUUUGUAUAUAUACAUAAAAGUAUUAUAUUCUAUUUUUAAGCUCUUAUACAACAAAAUAUAAAAGCAAAACAAAGCAAAAAGCCAUAAGAAGACAAAACAAACAGCAAAAAAAAAAAUAAACAACAAAUUUAUAAUAAUUAUUAUAAUAAAAAAAAAUUUCAUAAUUCAACGUUGAAGAGCUACAGAACAAUAAGAAAAAUAUUUUUAAAUGAAAAGCUAAAUUAAAAGCAAAAGAAAAAAAAUAUUAUCAUUAAAACAUAAAAAAAAAUUUAAAAUAAUUGAAAUAAAAAUAAUUUAUUUUCCCUUCUAAAACAAAAAAAAAGAAAAAAAUCAAUUAUCACCACCUUGACCUAAACCAAUCCUUGAAAUUCAAAAAGGAAGCAACAAAAAAUACAACAAAACCAAAAAUAUAGAAAUAAACGAAACAAAAGAAACAUUCAAACCUUGAAUUUUCAUGUAAAACAGAAAAAAACAGAAUUGUAAUUGAAAACUUAAUUUCUUUCAUUCAUAAUUUGCCCAAUUUUUGGGAAACAAUACCUGUGUAUGCAUAUAGGUAUAUAAAAAACAAUAAGGACAUCAUUACAAUUAAAAAAUAAUAACAAAAAAGAAAAAAAAAAAAACAGAAAUAAUAGAAUCAAAUCACAACGAUUACGUCACAUAAGAGCAAACCUUGAAGAUUACAAUUUGCAUAUUUUUAUAUUUUCUUUUUGUUACAUAAGAAAAUUAUGUGAAUUUAUUUUAAUUUUCAAUUCAAUUUUAAAAUAUUUUUAAAAAACAAGUAAAUAAUAAUUUCUCUCAGUGUAAUUCACUCAAUUAUCACCAUUUAAAUUAUUAAUAAAAGAUUUUAAUGAAAUCGCAAUCUUAAUGUUUUAAAAUUUACAUGUUUGCAAAUCAUUUGUACAUACAUAUAAUCAAGGUAGAUUAUUAUUACUAUAACAGUAAUUAAAUAGUAAACAUUUAAAGGAUUAUUAUAUUUAAAAAUUAACAAUCGAAUCUAUGCUUACAUAAAAUAGUUUUAAAAAUUGCAAAAUAUUUUUAAAAUAACUUAUAAUUUUUUCUCAGUGUAUAUGAGCUAUUUACUUUGUGUUCAUAAAUACGCCACCAUAAAUUUAUUUUCUUAAACAUAUAUGAAAAUUUAUUCUGAGUGUAUAAAAUAAUUUUUAUAAUUUAACUUUUUUUUAACAUUAAAUUUAAAAAAUUAAAAAUAAUUGAAUUUUUAUUGUUGAUUUGCAAGUUUUUUGUGCUUUGGAUUCUGAUUUUUUUUUACAAAUGACAUCGUCUGUUGUAAGAUUUGUACAAUUUUUAAAAUUUCAAUUGACGAUUCACAUUAAUUAUUCAAAUAAAUUUUUAAUUAAAAUAGAAAAUAAUUCCAAUUUAAGUACAAAACAAAAAAUAUUGGUUUAGAAAAAAAAAACAAAAAAGAAAUUUUUUUUUUUUUAAAAAAAAAAUAAUUCCUAUAUUUUUAAUUUUUAAGGUAAAAUAUUAAAAUUUAUUAUAAAAAAAUUUCUAAAUUGAAAGCAAAAAAAUUCAAUUUAAAGUACAAAAGAAAUUAAACAAGAAAACAAAAAAUCUUGUUGUAUUUUUGUGAUUUGUUGUGUUAUACGAAAAUAUAUUCAAAGUGGAUACCAUAUCUAUUCCAUUGGGUGGACUAUCACAUGUUAGGAUGGCUCUAGCCAGGUAAGUUUGUAUCUACUUACUUCAGUUUUUUUUCAGUGUAUCUGUAUGUGAUUCUUCUAAUAAGUAGAACUUGAAAAAAGAAUUUGCAUUUUUAAAGUUAAAUGAGAAAAUAUACCAGAAUUAACUUUGGAGAUUUAAAAUUUACCAAAUCAAAUGUUUGGUAAUACUGAAUAUUUUUUUUUAAAAACUUAACCCUAAUUAUGUCUAAGCAUGUAACCUGUCUAUUAUAGUAUUAUGUCACUAUGAAGACAUGCGCGGUAUCCAUUAUAUAACCUCCAUUGUCUAGGUAUAUAAAAUACUAGGGUGCGAUGAAACCCGACAUUAGACUUUUUUUUAAUCUACUUCUUAUUGUGGUAAAAUAUAUUUAACAUUAGACCAUUUUCAAAAAUUUUAAAUACCCUGUCGAAAUGUCUUCGAAUUAGUUUUAUUAAAAAAAUUAUCUGUCCUAUUUAAUUUAGCUAUUUUAUAAAUUUAAUAUAUUUGUUUAGAAUACUAGUGCUGGUAGUCCGUUUCAGGUGUGCGAUUUAUUACCCAAUACAAAUCCUAAUGCAUUUUCUCUCAAACAAUCUAAACUUUCCCAUGAGAUUUGCGCUUACGUUAUACUAAAUCGAUAUAGCAUUUACGGCAUUAUUUUAUGUUGAUUGGAAAUUUAAAAUUUAUUAUAGUUGAAAAUUGCAUAUCUUCAGGAGCAAUUAUAAAUUUUUAAAAAAUUUUUUUUACGAUUAAUUACGCAUUUUUAGUUGAUUGAUUGUGGUAUUUAAGGAGUUGUA